UACGUAGGGGGCAAGCGUUGUCCGGAUUUAUUGGGCGUAAAGAGCGUGUAGGCGGCCUGAAAGGUCAGCUGUGAAAACUCGAGGCUCAACCUCGAGACGUCGGUUGAAACCGUCUGGCUAGAGUCCGGAAGAGGAGAGUGGAAUUCCUGGUGUAGCGGUGAAAUGCGCAGAUAUCAGGAAGAACACCCGUGGCUAAGGCGGCUCUCUAGUACGGUACUGACGCUGAGACGCGAAAGCGUGGGGAGCGAACAGG
RNAcentral lists this ribosomal RNA (253 nucleotides) under uncultured bacterium. RNAcentral describes it as "partial 16S ribosomal RNA". It matches the Rfam family "Bacterial small subunit ribosomal RNA", at positions 524 to 776 of the family's 1533-position model. The record is from RNAcentral.